UGGAUGAUGUGGAUUAAUUCGAUGCAACGCGAAGAACCUUACUACCCUUGACAUGUCCGGAACUUGCCAGAGAUGGCUUGGUGCCCGAAAGGGAAUCGGAACACAGGUGCUGCAUGGCUGUCGUCAGCUCGUGUCGUGAGAUGUUGGGUUAAGUCCCGCAACGAGCGCAACCCUUAUCAUUAGUUGCUACGCAAGGGCACUCUAAUGAGACUGCCGGUGACAAACCGGAGGAAGGUGGGGAUGACGUCAAGUCCUCAUGGCCCUUAUGGGUAGGGCUUCACGCAUGCUACAAUGGCCGGUACAAAGGGCUGCGAUACCGCGAGGUGGAGCGAAUCCCAGAAAGCCGGUCUCAGUUCGGAUUGGGGUCUGCAACUCGACCCCAUGAAGUCGGAGUCGCUAGUAAUCGCAGAUCAGCAACGCUGCGGUGAAUACGUUCCCGGGCCUU
This 445-nucleotide ribosomal RNA is filed under the name uncultured Thiobacillus sp. Its description in RNAcentral is "bacterial SSU rRNA". It matches the Rfam family "Bacterial small subunit ribosomal RNA", at positions 933 to 1382 of the family's 1533-position model. Lineage: Bacteria; Pseudomonadati; Pseudomonadota; Betaproteobacteria; Nitrosomonadales; Thiobacillaceae. The record is from RNAcentral.